Molecule: ribosomal RNA, 253 nt
Filed under: uncultured bacterium
Lineage: Bacteria
Description: partial 16S ribosomal RNA
Rfam family: Bacterial small subunit ribosomal RNA
Source: RNAcentral
CACGUAGGGGACGAGCGUUGUCCGGAUUCAUUGGGCGUAAAGAGCUCGUAGGCGGCUUGUCGCGUCGGCUGUGAAAUCCCGUGGCUUAACUGCGGGUCUGCAGCCGAUACGGGCAGGCUAGAGUUCGGUAGGGGAGACUGGAAUUCCUGGUGUAGCGGUGAAAUGCGCAGAUAUCAGGAGGAACACCGGUGGCGAAGGCGGGUCUCUGGGCCGAUACUGACGCUGAGGAGCGAAAGCGUGGGGAGCGAACAGG